This 468-nucleotide ribosomal RNA is filed under the name uncultured bacterium. RNAcentral describes it as "partial 16S ribosomal RNA". It matches the Rfam family "Bacterial small subunit ribosomal RNA", at positions 28 to 507 of the family's 1533-position model. The record is from RNAcentral.
GACGAACGCUGGCGGCGUGCUUAACACAUGCAAGUCGAACGGAAAGGCCCUGCUUUUGUGGGGUGCUCGAGUGGCGAACGGGUGAGUAACACGUGAGUAACCUGCCCUUGACUUUGGGAUAACUUCAGGAAACUGGGGCUAAUACCGGAUAGGAGCUCCUGCUGCAUGGUGGGGGUUGGAAAGUUUCGGCGGUUGGGGAUGGACUCGCGGCUUAUCAGCUUGUUGGUGGGGUAGUGGCUUACCAAGGCUUUGACGGGUAGCCGGCCUGAGAGGGUGACCGGCCAAAUUGGGACGGAGAUACGGCCCAGACUCAUACGGGAGGCAGCAGUGGGGAAUAUUGCACGAUGGGCGGAAGCCUGAUGCAGCAACGCCGCGUGCGGGAUGACGGCCUUCGGGUUGUAAACCGCUUUCGCCUGUGACGAAGCGUGAGUGACGGUAAUGGGUAAAGAAGCACCGGCUAACUACGUG